This 78-nucleotide transfer RNA is filed under the name Methanothermococcus okinawensis. Its description in RNAcentral is "tRNA-Ile". It matches the Rfam family "tRNA". From Rfam's summary of the family: Transfer RNA (tRNA) molecules are approximately 80 nucleotides in length. Their secondary structure includes four short double-helical elements and three loops (D, anti-codon, and T loops). Further hydrogen bonds mediate the characteristic L-shaped molecular structure. tRNAs have two regions of fundamental functional importance: the anti-codon, which is responsible for specific mRNA codon recognition, and the 3' end, to which the tRNAs corresponding amino acid is attached (by aminoacyl-tRNA synthetases). tRNAs cope with the degeneracy of the genetic code in two manners: having more than one tRNA (with a specific anti-codon) for a particular amino acid; and 'wobble' base-pairing, i.e. permitting non-standard base-pairing at the 3rd anti-codon position. Lineage: Archaea; Methanobacteriati; Methanobacteriota; Methanococci; Methanococcales; Methanococcaceae. RNAcentral also lists the same sequence under 1 other name. The record is from RNAcentral.
AGGGCAGUAGCUCAGCCUGGUUAGAGUGCUCGGCUGAUAACCGAGUGGUCCGGGGUUCAAAUCCCCGCUGCCCUACCA